Molecule: transfer RNA, 70 nt
Filed under: Leiolepis boehmei
Lineage: Eukaryota; Metazoa; Chordata; Lepidosauria; Squamata; Agamidae
Description: tRNA-Phe
Source: RNAcentral
AUAUAUGUAGCUUAAAUAAUUAAAGCGCACCAUUGAAAAUACUAAGAUGAGACUGACUUCUCCAAACACA